This 207-nucleotide ribosomal RNA is filed under the name uncultured bacterium. RNAcentral's name for it is "partial 16S ribosomal RNA". It matches the Rfam family "Bacterial small subunit ribosomal RNA", at positions 568 to 774 of the family's 1533-position model. The record is from RNAcentral.
CGCGUAGGCGGAUUGUACAGUCAGAUGUGAAAUUCCCGGGCUCAACCUGGGGGCUGCAUUUGAUACGUAUGAUCUUGAGUGAGGAAGAGGGUCGUGGAAUUCCCAGUGUAGAGGUGAAAUUCGUAGAUAUUGGGAAGAACACCGGUGGCGAAGGCGGCGACCUGGUCCGAUACUGACGCUGAGGCGCGAAAGCGUGGGGAGCAAACA